RNAcentral lists this long non-coding RNA (1136 nucleotides) under Apteryx rowi (Okarito brown kiwi). RNAcentral describes it as "lncRNA (ENSARWG00000008357.1)". The record is from RNAcentral. Lineage: Eukaryota; Metazoa; Chordata; Aves; Apterygiformes; Apterygidae.
CGGACGUGGACCCGUGGGUCUGGCUGGAGUCAGCAGCACGGCUGUUGCCCGGCUGUGGCAGCAGCUGUAUUUACUCCAGCUGCGGUGCUCGGCAGAGCAGGAAAUGCCUCAGCCAGUGGGUCCUUGCAGCGGGGGACCAGCUCUGUCCCCCUCCCUGGCACAGAGGGAAAACUGGCACGGGGCGGCUGCCAGCAGGGCCGGGACAAACCCGCCGCCAGGGCAUGGAGUCAUCUGGGAAGGGUCACAGCAGGGCGGGCUGCCCCACGGCUGGACGCACGGGGAAGGAGAGGGGUCCACAGUGACCCCGGCCCCAGGUGCAACCCUGGCCCCAGUGCAGCCCCGGCCCCCGGUGCAGCACUGCAGCCUGGCCAAGCACGGCCGGGGCCCACGGCCACGGGGCUGGUCCUCGCCAGGGCGGGCGAGCAGCACGCGGCUGCACAGAGGGAUUUUUCGGAUUCCGAGCUGGCACCCGGCCAUGGCCUUUCCCCAGCUCCGCGCCAAGUGCAGCAGCAGUUUUCAGCUGCUGGCACAGGGAAGGAGCAAGGCCGAGAGCCAGCCAGGAAAGAGCAACACAGCCCAAGCCCCGGCAGAGUGUUGCUGGCCCCACCGGGACCCCCCGGCUCCCUCUUCCCCCCGGACGCGCGGUCUAGGAAGGCCAUGCAGGGCCGUGGGUCUGGGCCAUGCGGCAGCCACAGGCCCAGGUUCGGGAAAGCACCAGGAGGGACAGGAGCAAAGCUGGAAGCACCGCGUCCCUCUUCGGCCCCAUCCCAUCUCCACACCACGUCUUUCUGGGCUGCUCUCACCAUUUUGGGGUGGGGGGACAGAGCGGCAAUCCUGGCUCCUGGGCCCCAGGCAGGACGCGGCAGGGUGACUCUGCCCCCCGCUCGAGGCAGCAGCCAUCCCGGCACGAGUCACCCGCCGGCCAUGGGAAUGGGGACCUGCUCCCAAAGCGCAGGGCUGCAAGGCAGCGGCGCAUGCUGAACCAGCCCUCAGUGCCAAACCAGCCCCCCACGCUGAGCCGCCCACCAGGGCAAGCACCGGCCAGCGGCUUUGUCCUGCCAGGACGCUGCAAUUCCCUUGGCACCAAGGUGGCUCCGCGUCGCAGCCCUCCCCAGUGCAGGAUUCCUCGAGAGCUG